GUGUGAAACGUUAAUAUGUUCUGUGUGUGUGUGAAACGUUAAUAUGUUUGUGUGUGUGUGUGUGUGAAACGUUAAUAUGUUCUGUGUGUGUGUGAAACGUUAAUAUGAGGCAUGUUCUGUGUGUGUGUGUGUGUGUGAAACGUUAAUAUGUUCUGUGUGUGUGUGAAACGUUAAUAUGAGGCAUGUUCUGUGUGUGUGUGUGAAACGUUAAUAUGAGGCAUGUUGUGUGUGUGUGUGUGUGUGUGUGUGUGUGUGUGUGUGUGUGUGUGUGUGUGUGUGUGUGUGUGUGUGUGUGUGUGUGUGUGUGUGUGUGUGUGUAACGUUAAUAGGAGGCAUGUUCUGUGUGUGUGUGAAACGUUAAUAUGUUCCAUGUGUGUGUUCGUGCCGGUCUGUCUCCCGUGACGUUGCAUGUUGUCCACGGAACCACAGUACUACUACAGUUGCUUAGGAACGCGUUGACGUUGUAAAAUGACCAGAUUGGUGCCCAUUCAACACAUCUAAUCUAACAAAAGAGGAUCAAAGACCAGAUUGGUGCCCAUUCAACACAUCUAAUCUAACAAAAGAGGAUCAAAGACCAGAUUGGUGCCCAUUCAACACAUCUAAUCUAACAAAAGAGGAUCAAAGACCAGAUUGGUGCCCAUUCAACACAUCUAAUCUAACAAAAGACGAUCAUUUGUCAUAUCUGUCACGGUGUAGUUACUUAAGUCCUGAUAUAUUGGACUGUUUUCCCUUUUUCAGGUUUAGAAGAAGAGGUGACCGCUAAAUGCUAACUCCCAUCCGUAUAAGCUGGUAGCAUAGCUAGCAUACAGAAAUCGUUGAUGGUAGUAGUCAUGUCGUUUAAAAAAACAAAAAAACGAAUGCACUUGAUUGGUGACGAUGACAUGAGUUGAUGUUAACGUCCACACAAGCAUUAUACCUCAACAUCGUGUGAAAUAGACAAUAGCUUAAAUGUAGGCUAAUUUAGCUUUGGGGUAGGAGGGGGGGGGCAAUGAGGAAGCUUAGGGAUCUUAACCCCCCGACGCGUUUCCAUGGCAACGGUGUUCCCAUUGUUUUGAUUUAGCUUUGGGGUGGGGGGGGAGGGACAAUGAGGAAGCUUAGGGAUCUUAACCCCCGACGCGUUUCCAUGACAACGGCGUUCCCAUUGUUUUGAUUUAGGUAGGGGGGGAGGGACAAUGAGGAAGCUUAGGGAUCUUAACCCCCCGACGCGUUUCCAUGGCAACGGCGUUCCCAUUGUUUUUGUUCAGUUGGAUUUAGCUCGUGACUGCAUCUGUAACCAACGACGUGUAUAUAAACUCUGGACUGUUGAUUGCUUUGUUUUGGCCAUUUAGAGGCUUUAAGCCACUGGUCGGCCAUUUUGACAGUCCUCCAUAGGAUUGAAUGGAAUUCUACAGCAUUUCAAUUAAAGGUUUCGAGGACCAAAUUACAUGUAUUUCAGUACUUGUUGUUGUUGUAGUUUGGGACAGUAACAUUAGUAUUUUUAAGGGGGAGGGGGGGUGGGGACGUUUAUUUAUUUUUAGUGUAGCUCACAUGUGUAAAAUGAUACAUUUUAAGGUGUUUAAUGGAAUAAACGUGUCAGAAAUGAA
Molecule: long non-coding RNA, 1583 nt
Organism: Oncorhynchus keta (chum salmon)
Lineage: Eukaryota; Metazoa; Chordata; Actinopteri; Salmoniformes; Salmonidae
Exons: 2
Source: RefSeq, a predicted model, not a curated record